AGUGAACGCUGGCGGUAGGCCUAACACAUGCAAGUCGAACGGCAGCACAGGAGAGCUUGCUCUCUGGGUGGCGAGUGGCGGACGGGUGAGGAAUACAUCGGAAUCUACUUUUUCGUGGGGGAUAACGUAGGGAAACUUACGCUAAUACCGCAUACGACCUACGGGCGAAAGCAGGGGAUCUUCGGACCUUGCGCGAUUGAAUGAGCCGAUGUCGGGUUAGCUAGUUGGCGGGGUAAAGGCCCACCAAGGCGACGAUCCGUAGCUGGUCUGAGAGGAUGGUCAGCCACACUGGAACUGAGACACGGUCCAGACUCCUACGGGAGGCAGCAGUGGGGAAUAUUGGACAAUGGGCGCAAGCCUGAUCCAGCCAUACCGCGUGGGUGAAGAAGGCCUUCGGGUUGUAAAGCCCUUUUGUUGGGAAAGAAAUCCAGCUGGUUAAUACCCGGUUGGGAUGACGGUACCCAAAGAAUAAGCACCGGCUAACUUCGUGCCAGCAGCCGCCGUAA
This 506-nucleotide ribosomal RNA is filed under the name uncultured bacterium. RNAcentral describes it as "partial 16S ribosomal RNA". It matches the Rfam family "Bacterial small subunit ribosomal RNA", at positions 29 to 523 of the family's 1533-position model. The record is from RNAcentral.